This is a non-coding RNA of Rattus norvegicus (Norway rat), 277 nucleotides long. Ensembl annotates it as Nuclear RNase P. The record is from Ensembl. NCBI's taxonomy places the organism in Eukaryota, Metazoa, Chordata, Mammalia, Rodentia, Muridae.
GGUAGAGGAAGCUCAUCAGCUGAGUGCUCACAAGCUGAGUGCUCUUCACUCCUCAGCUCCUGGGAUAGUCUGAGACUGGGGCCUCCUAUGAUCAUAACUAGGCUCUCCCCUAGUGGGGAGGUGGGUUCCCAGAGAGCAGGACUCCACGCAUGGGCAGACUGGGAAGAAAUUCAUGUUCAUUGUUGCCCUAGUAUCGGUAUCAAAAUAUCCAGGAAAUGGAAACAGACGAGAUGUCCAUAAACUGAUGAAUGAACAACGGAAAUGCAGUUCCUAUACA